Molecule: long non-coding RNA, 349 nt
Filed under: Rattus norvegicus (Norway rat)
Lineage: Eukaryota; Metazoa; Chordata; Mammalia; Rodentia; Muridae
Description: long non-coding RNA NONRATT009450
Source: RNAcentral
GUGAAGGUAAAGGAGGCCCGGAGGGCCCCUACCCACCUUUCUCCUUAGCAGCAGCUGCUCUACUGGCAAGAAGGCCAGCAACAUGCCCAGCUCUUGGCCUUGAGGCCACUGUGAGUCAUGAGGAGGCUGAACCCCCUUCCAAUCAAAUGGCAGUGUAUCCGACAGACCUCACCCUGCAAUUGUUGGCUGUGAGGCGGAAGAGUGGACUGCGGAGCCCCAGCCUACAGCAGACCCUGAGAAGCCGACUCCGCCUGCUGGAGAAUGACAGCCGGGAAGUGGCCCGAGUACUUGGAGAACUGUCAGCCAGGCUGCUGUCCAUCCACAGUGACCAGGACCGGAUCGUGGUGAC